UACGGAGGGUGCAAGCGUUAUCCGGAUUCACUGGGUUUAAAGGGUGUGUAGGCGGGUGUUUAAGUCAGUGGUGAAAUCUCCAGGCUCAACCUGGAAACUGCCAUUGAUACUAUUCAUCUUGAAUUCUGUUGAGGUGGGCGGAAUAUAUCAUGUAGCGGUGAAAUGCUUAGAUAUGAUAUAGAACACCGAUUGCGAAGGCAGCUCACUAAACGCGAUUGACGCUGAGGCACGAAA
This 234-nucleotide ribosomal RNA is filed under the name uncultured bacterium. Its description in RNAcentral is "partial 16S ribosomal RNA". It matches the Rfam family "Bacterial small subunit ribosomal RNA", at positions 524 to 758 of the family's 1533-position model. The record is from RNAcentral.